This 270-nucleotide ribosomal RNA is filed under the name uncultured archaeon. RNAcentral's name for it is "partial 16S ribosomal RNA". It matches the Rfam family "Archaeal small subunit ribosomal RNA", at positions 477 to 747 of the family's 1478-position model. The record is from RNAcentral.
CAGCACCUCAAGUGGUCAGGAUGAUUAUUGGGCCUAAAGCAUCCGUAGCCGGCGCUGUAAGUUUUCGGUUAAAUCUGUACGCUCAACGUACAGGCUGCCGGGAAUACUGCAGCGCUAGGGAGUGGGAGAGGUAGACGGUACUCGGUAGGAAGGGGUAAAAUCCUUUGAUCUAUUGAUGACCACCUGUGGCGAAGGCGGUCUACCAGAACACGUCCGACGGUGAGGGAUGAAAGCUGGGGGAGCAAAUCGGAUUAGAUACCCGAGUAGUCC